Molecule: ribosomal RNA, 207 nt
Filed under: uncultured bacterium
Lineage: Bacteria
Description: partial 16S ribosomal RNA
Rfam family: Bacterial small subunit ribosomal RNA
Source: RNAcentral
CACGUAGGCGGCCUGUUAAGUGUGGAGUGAAAUUCCACGGCUCACCCGUGGAACUGCUUCGCAUACUGGCAAGCUCGAGGACGGUAGGGGAGAGCGGAACUCUUGGUGGAGCGGUGAAAUGCGUAGAUAUCAAGAGGAACACCGAUGGCGAAGGCAGCUCUCUGGUCCGUUUCUGACGCUGAGGUGCGAAAGCUAGGGUAGCGAACG